UUCACCAGGGAAAGGAGGCUCUGCUGGACCCCGCUAGAGAGCCCUUUACAGACAUGUCAUGCAGGAGAACUCAAGAACGUAACCUCGCUGGGGUUCCCACUUUUCAAACCUGAUGUCAUCUCCCAGCUGGAACAAGAGGAAGAGCCGUGGGCCUCAGAUUUCCAGGGCUCAGAGGAAAGAGAUCCUGAGAGGCAGCUGCAUGGGUGAGGGGAUGGUGAGAGAGACUGUGGAGCAGACA
Long non-coding RNA from Gopherus evgoodei (Goodes thornscrub tortoise), 238 nucleotides. RefSeq lists it as uncharacterized. Lineage: Eukaryota; Metazoa; Chordata; Testudines; Testudinidae. The transcript has 3 exons. The record is from RefSeq and is a predicted model, not a curated record.